GUCACUUAACACGCACACAUACAUCCCAUCUUUCUCCCUCUUGGCCGACAUAGUCACUUCACCAUCUUCCCUCUCAUCUUCCUUUCUUUACCGUGCUUUCCCCAUCACUCCAUCAGACACACCAUCGACCAACCAUCGUCCUAGGUCCUAAAAUAGCAAAGAUUCCCUUCUUCAUCACCUUACACGGCACAGUUACUGUGCAUCCAUCUCUGAUGACGUAUCGUCAUCUCCGAUGAAGGUUUUAACUCGAAAAUCAACUCGGGAAGCAUUUUCCAGAAAUCUGGAAAUUCAAAACCGUGACUGUUUGGCCGUAUUCUAGACGCUUUUCCUGCCAAAGCACAGCUAGUUAGCCAUCGAGAAAGGCUGCCCAGAAAUUCCGGCGAGUCACUAGUUUUCCCGCGGACAGCUGUCUUUCAGGCCAUUUUCCGGCCACCUCCGGCCACCAUUUGGACUCCAAGCAGGUAUAAUCUUGUUUUACACUUCUUUAGCUUCGUGUCGGUGUAUUAAGUCGAAUUUGGUUGAGAAACAAGUCAGAUAUAGAGUUCUAAAAUUGCCCUGAAAAUAUGCAAAAUCCGACCGUUGGAUCAUCAUCAAACUUUAAUAAUAUUUGGGGACCAUAUGAACUUACGGAUUGAGAAUACGACGGAUUUUCUCAAAUUGGAUUUGUAAAUUCAUAAAAUAAAACGUUAACUGACACUUGAAUUUGUAAUUGACGGAGAUCUAACUGUUGGAUCGUAAUAAAACUUUAGGAUGUUGUUCUAGAAGCAUAAUGUGGAUCUUUGGAAGUUACGGAUAGGAAAUCCGAGGAGCAGAUCUUCCGAAUCAAGUUAUGUAGAGUUGUGGACUCUACCGUUGAUCUCUGACCGACGGUUGACUUUUGGGAUCUAUGAGUUUCAAAUCAUUCUAGAAUGUCCCUGGGGGAUGUGUUUUAUGUAAAUUACGUGUUCUAUCAGUAAGAAUUUUGAGACAUCAUUUGAGACAUCUCGAUAUUCGUGCUAAGGAGUGUAGCGCGGACAUCAGGUGAGUGGGCUUUGGGUUUUUAAUAUAUGUAUAUAUGCAUUACGUUUUUCCCAGAAAAAUUGAUUUAAAUGAUUUUGCGUUUUAGAUGCCAUGUCAAAUGGUUUAUAUUUUAGAAUAUGCAUUAGUAGUUAUGUAUGUUAGUAUUGGACGCUACGGACGCUCAGGUAAGUUUCAGGUGAGUAUAUGUGUUAUUGAUUGUGAGUUACGUUAUGAUGGUUAUACAUAAAUGCAUUUAAAGCUCAUUAACCUGCACCUCGGUGUUAGUGCUCCCGCCUGUGGCCAGGGCACAGUCCUUCACGUGAUGUUCACCUCCCGCACCGCACGCUCACAUUGGAUCCAAGUUUGGUGCACAACUCUGUCGUACAGACCACAAUAGGUGGUUCCGACUUGUAGCUGACCUGCGAUUUAUCGCACAACCUUCACGUGAUCGUAGCGUUUGAGCAUACUUAUUACACCUAGCCAUGUCGUACAGACCACAUUAUGUGGUUCCAACUCGUGUGUAGGCAUACUUGAUGAACUAUAGGUUCAGUUGUACAUGCUACAAUAGGUGGAUCCGGAUGACAUAUCAUUUUUCAUUGAUUUACUUCACCUGGUUUACUUAUUCAUUAUGCAGAGAUAUUUGACAUGGCAUACAUGUGGAUUUUGGUAUUUCGAGUAUGGUUUCAACAUAUGUUUUAGCUGCUGGAAAUUCGUAUCGAUGAGGAUUCUUGGCGAAUGUCAGUAUAAGUGACUACCUCUGAGGGUAUGAUCUUUACCCACACUACUGUACUUUACUACAUGUGAAGUGGGUGCAUACUCGCUCACCAGCGCUGUAACACCGCCCCGAAAAUAUUUAUUUUCGGCAAUAAUUAUUGGUAAUAGGCCCAAAAAUUCAAACUCUCGUCUAUUUAGCUGCCAAUCUUCACGACA
This is a non-coding RNA of Malus domestica (apple), 1929 nucleotides long. NCBI's taxonomy places the organism in Eukaryota, Viridiplantae, Streptophyta, Magnoliopsida, Rosales, Rosaceae. The record is from RefSeq and is a predicted model, not a curated record.